RNAcentral lists this ribosomal RNA (380 nucleotides) under Pseudo-nitzschia pungens. Its description in RNAcentral is "partial Bacterial small subunit ribosomal RNA". It matches the Rfam family "Bacterial small subunit ribosomal RNA", at positions 677 to 1056 of the family's 1533-position model. Lineage: Eukaryota; Bacillariophyta; Bacillariophyceae; Bacillariales; Bacillariaceae. The record is from RNAcentral.
AGCGGUGAAAUGCGUAGAGAUCUGAAGGAAUACCAAUGGCGAAGGCAGCCACCUGGGUCGACACUGACGCUCAUGUACGAAAGCGUGGGUAGCAAACAGGAUUAGAUACCCUGGUAGUCCACGCCGUAAACGAUGUCUACUAGCCGUUGGGAGACUUGAUCUCUUAGUGGCGAAGCUAACGCGAUAAGUAGACCGCCUGGGGAGUACGGCCGCAAGGUUAAAACUCAAAUGAAUUGACGGGGGCCCGCACAAGCGGUGGAGCAUGUGGUUUAAUUCGAUGCAACGCGAAGAACCUUACCUACUCUUGACAUACUAGAAGCUUUUCAGAGAUGAAUUGGUGCCUUCGGGAAUCUAGAUACAGGUGCUGCAUGGCUGUCGUC